This 498-nucleotide ribosomal RNA is filed under the name uncultured bacterium. RNAcentral's name for it is "partial 16S ribosomal RNA". It matches the Rfam family "Bacterial small subunit ribosomal RNA", at positions 28 to 507 of the family's 1533-position model. The record is from RNAcentral.
GACGAACGCUGGCGGCGUGCCUAAUACAUGCAAGUCGAGCGGACUGAAUGGGAGCUUGCUCUUGUUCGGUUAGCGGCGGACGGGUGAGUAACACGUGGACAACCUGCCUGCAAGACUGGGAUAACUCCGGGAAACCGGAGCUAAUACCGGAUAACACCGUAGACCGCAUGGUUCUUGGGUGAAAGGCGGCGUAGGCUGCCCCUUUCGGUUGAGCCCGCGCGGCUUUAGUAAUUGGGAGAGGAACGGGCUAACCAGGGCAACAGUCGUAGGCGGCCUGGGGGGGGGGACGGCCACACCGGGACUGGGGCCCCGCCCAAACUCCUACCGGGGGCAGCAGUAGGGGAUCUUCCGGAAUGGGCGAAAGCCUGACGGGGCGACGCCGCGGGGGCGGAGGAGGCCUUCGGGUCGGAAAGAUCUUGUGUGAGGGACGGAGGAGCGCCGUUUGAAGAAGGCCACGCGGUGACGGUACCUCACGAGGAAGCCCCGGCUAACUACGUG